UUGCUGGCUCAAUGGGCUGUAGCCUAGAAU
RNAcentral lists this non-coding RNA (30 nucleotides) under Rattus norvegicus (Norway rat). The record is from RNAcentral. Lineage: Eukaryota; Metazoa; Chordata; Mammalia; Rodentia; Muridae.